UAUACAUGCAAGUCGAGCGGACAGAAGGGAGCUUGCUCCCGGGAUGUAGCGGCGGACGGGUGAGUAACACGUGGGUAACCUGCCUGUAAGACUGGGAUAACUCCGGGAAACCGGAGCUAAUACCGGAUAGUUCCUUGAACCGCAUGGUUCAAGGAUGAAAGACGGUUUCGGCUGUCACUUACAGAUGGACCGCGGCGCAUAGCUAGUUGGUGAGGUAACGGCUCACCAAGGCGACGAUGCGUAGCCGACCUGAGAGGGUGAUCGGCCACACUGGGACUGAGACACGGCCCAGACUCCUACGGGAGGCAGCAGUAGGGAAUCUUCCGCAAUGGACGAAAGUCUGACGGAGCAACGCCGCGUGAGUGAUGAAGGUUUUCGGAUCGUAAAGCUCUGUUGUUAGGGAAGAACAAGUGCAAGAGUAACUGCUUGCACCUUGACGGUACCUAACCAGAAAGCCACGGCUAACUACGUGCCAGCAGCCGCGGUAAUACGUAGGUGGCAAGCGUUGUCCGGAAUUAUUGGGCGUAAAGGGCUCGCAGGCGGUUUCUUAAGUCUGAUGUGAAAGCCCCCGGCUCAACCGGGGAGGGUCAUUGGAAACUGGGAAACUUGAGUGCAGAAGAGGAGAGUGGAAUUCCACGUGUAGCGGUGAAAUGCGUAGAGAUGUGGAGGAACACCAGUGGCGAAGGCGACUCUCUGGUCUGUAACUGACGCUGAGGAGCGAAAGCGUGGGGAGCGAACAGGAUUAGAUACCCUGGUAGUCCACGCCGUAAACGAUGAGUGCUAAGUGUUAGGGGGUUUCCGCCCCUUAGUGCUGCAGCUAACGCAUUAAGCACUCCGCCUGGGGAGUACGGUCGCAAGACUGAAACUCAAAGGAAUUGACGGGGGCCCGCACAAGCGGUGGAGCAUGUGGUUUAAUUCGAAGCAACGCGAAGAACCUUACCAGGUCUUGACAUCCUCUGACAACCCUAGAGAUAGGGCUUUCCCUUCGGGGACAGAGUGA
RNAcentral lists this ribosomal RNA (1000 nucleotides) under Bacillus aerius. RNAcentral describes it as "bacterial SSU rRNA". It matches the Rfam family "Bacterial small subunit ribosomal RNA", at positions 50 to 1034 of the family's 1533-position model. Lineage: Bacteria; Bacillati; Bacillota; Bacilli; Caryophanales; Bacillaceae. The record is from RNAcentral.